Molecule: ribosomal RNA, 239 nt
Filed under: uncultured bacterium
Lineage: Bacteria
Description: partial 16S ribosomal RNA
Rfam family: Bacterial small subunit ribosomal RNA
Source: RNAcentral
CCGGCACGGGUGAGUAACACGUAUCCAACCUGCCGUCUACUCUUGGACAGCCUUCUGAAAGGAAAAUUAAUACAAGAUGGCAUCAUGAGUCCACAUGUUCACAUGAUUAAAGGUAUUUUCCGGUAGACGAUGGGGAUGCGUUCCAUUAGAUAGUAGGCGGGGUAACGGCCCACCUAGUCAACGAUGGAUAGGGGUUCUGAGAGGAAGGUCCCCCACAUUGGAACUGAGACACGGUCCAA